UCGUCACAAAAAGAAUUGUUUUUGUUAUUAUUAAAAUAAUAAUAAAAAGAAAAGAUAAAAAUUGAUAAGUUUUUGAAGCAUAAAUGAAGAUAUAAUUGUAAUUCUAUGAUUAACCAUUGUCAUUAUGAAUCUAUUAGGGAAACAAUGGUUUUAUUUUCAAUACGGCAAGUGUCAUUAAACUGAAGAAAAAACUUUUGCCCUCAUCCUUGGAAGUAUGCUUUGUUCAAACUGAAAUAUAUUUCUUAGUAUAAAAUCCAUUCUCCAAAAUUAACAAUUUUUAAAAGGCAUGCAUGGACGAAAGCAUUGGACAUUUGAAAACCUUUUAUAACAGGGGUGAAGAAUGUGCAAUCUCCGUUGACGCUUUGAUAAAGAGUGCUUUCUUUCACGUCCGCAUUUCUAUUAAGUAUGGCAUGCCGGGUUAACAUUUUAAUGAUUACUACAGAUUGGAGAAAUGAAUAACAGAACAGUGCACAAUAACGUACAAUAACAUACAUUGUUAUUCGUAGGAGAUAAGAGAAACUACGUGAUACUUUUAAUCUUUUUUUUUUAUUAUUUAAGAUGGCAUGGUGUAUAUUGUCCAUAAUAUUUAUAUCCAAU
Molecule: long non-coding RNA, 597 nt
Filed under: Mytilus galloprovincialis (Mediterranean mussel)
Lineage: Eukaryota; Metazoa; Mollusca; Bivalvia; Mytilida; Mytilidae
Source: RNAcentral